UGCCUUUGGAUGUAAAGCGAGUCUCUUAGGUUUUCACUAUAGAUGCAAGAAAAAGAUCCUCUUCUGUCUGUCUGGUUGUGGCAGCCAAGAUUGAAUGGGGAAACACAGGA
Molecule: small nucleolar RNA, 110 nt
Filed under: Dasypus novemcinctus (nine-banded armadillo)
Lineage: Eukaryota; Metazoa; Chordata; Mammalia; Cingulata; Dasypodidae
Description: Small nucleolar RNA SNORA31 (ENSDNOG00000030315.1)
Source: RNAcentral